RNAcentral lists this transfer RNA (64 nucleotides) under Dipodomys ordii (Ord's kangaroo rat). It matches the Rfam family "tRNA". Rfam says of the family: Transfer RNA (tRNA) molecules are approximately 80 nucleotides in length. Their secondary structure includes four short double-helical elements and three loops (D, anti-codon, and T loops). Further hydrogen bonds mediate the characteristic L-shaped molecular structure. tRNAs have two regions of fundamental functional importance: the anti-codon, which is responsible for specific mRNA codon recognition, and the 3' end, to which the tRNAs corresponding amino acid is attached (by aminoacyl-tRNA synthetases). tRNAs cope with the degeneracy of the genetic code in two manners: having more than one tRNA (with a specific anti-codon) for a particular amino acid; and 'wobble' base-pairing, i.e. permitting non-standard base-pairing at the 3rd anti-codon position. Lineage: Eukaryota; Metazoa; Chordata; Mammalia; Rodentia; Heteromyidae. The record is from Rfam by way of RNAcentral.
GGUGGCUCAGUGGUGGAGUGCUUGCCUUGAAUGCAUAAGGCCCUGAGUUCAACCCUCAGCACCA